Molecule: ribosomal RNA, 393 nt
Filed under: uncultured bacterium
Lineage: Bacteria
Description: partial 16S ribosomal RNA
Rfam family: Bacterial small subunit ribosomal RNA
Source: RNAcentral
AUACGGAGGAUGCAAGCGUUAUCCGGAUUUAUUGGGUUUAAAGGGUGCGUAGGCGGUUUGCUAAGCGGGAGGUGAAAUGCCGGCGCUCAACGUCGGAAGUGCCUCCCGAACUGGUGGACUUGAAUGACUCUGCCGUGGGAGGAAUGGGUAGUGUAGCGGGGAAAUGCUUAGAGAUUACACAGAACACCGAUUGCGAAGGCAUCUCACGAAGGGUUGAUUGACGCUGAGGCACGAAAGCGUGGGGAUCAAACAGGAUUAGAUACCCUGGUAGUCCACGCAGUAAACGAUGAUGGCUAACCGCUGGGCUUAUCAGUUCAGUGGCCAAGCGAAAGCGAUAAGCCAUCCACCUGGGGAGUACGACCGCAAGGUUGAAACUCAAAUGAAUUGACGGGG